GGAUCUUGCGCAAUGAGCGAAAGCUUGACGCAGCGACGCCGCGUGGGGGAUGAAGGCCCUCGGGUUGUAAACCCCUUUCGGCAGGGACGAAGGGAAACUGACGGUACCUGCAGAAGCAGCCCCGGCUCACUACGUGCCAGCAGCCGCGGUGAGACAUAGGGGGCGAGCGUUGUCCGGAUUCAUUGGGCGUAAAGCGCGCGUAGGCGGCCCGGUAAGUCGGAUGUGAAAUCCCGGAGCUCAACUCCGGAACUGCACCCGAUACUGCCGGGCUCGAGGUAGGUAGGGGAGAUCGGAAUUCCUGGUGUAGCGGUGGAAUGCGCAGAUAUCAGGAGGAACACCGGUGGCGAAGGCGGAUCUCUGGGCCUUACCUGACGCUGAGGUGCGAAAGCUAGGGGAGCGAACAGG
Molecule: ribosomal RNA, 405 nt
Filed under: uncultured bacterium
Lineage: Bacteria
Description: bacterial SSU rRNA
Rfam family: Bacterial small subunit ribosomal RNA
Source: RNAcentral